UUAAGGGUGCAGGGCGGAUGCCUUGGCACUAGGAGCCGAUGAAGGACGUGAUAAGCUGCGAUAAGCUUCGGGGAGUUGCACGUAAACUUUGAUCCGAAGAUUUCCGAAUGAGGAAACUCACUUAGAGUAAUGUCUAAGUAUCAUUAAGUGAAUACAUAGCUUAAUGAGGGGAACUCAGGGAACUGAAACAUCUAAGUACCUGAAGGAAGAGAAAGAAAUUCGAUUCCGUAAGUAGCGGCGAGCGAACGCGGAUUAGCCCAAACCAAUAAAGUUUUCUUUAUUGGGGUUGCGGACAUAUCAUAACGAAGAGGUAUCGUAAUUGAAGAGGUUUGGAAAGACCCACCACAGAAGGUAAUAGUCCUGUAUGUUAAACGAGAAGACUUCAGAUAUGAUCCAGAGUACCACGGGACACGUGAAACCCUGUGGGAAGCAGGAGGGACCACCCUCCAAGGCUAAAUACUACCUAGUGACCGAUAGCGUAUAGUACCGUGAGGGAAAGGUGAAAAGAACCCCGGGAGGGGAGUGAAAUAGAACCUGAAACCCUGCACUUACAAGCUGUGGAAGCACAUUUCUUGUGUGACCGCGUACUUUUUGUAGAACGGGCCAACGAGUUACGUUAAGUAGCAAGGUUAAGCACUUAAGGUGCGGAGCCGUAGCGAAAGCGAGUUUUAACUGAGCGUUCAGUUACUUGACGUAGACCCGAAACCGGGCGACCUACCCAUGAGCAGGAUGAAGCGAAAGUAAAAUUUCGUGGAGGUCCGAACCCACGAGCGUUGAAAAGCUCGGGGAUGACUUGUGGGUAGCGGUGAAAUUCCAAUCGAGCCCGGAGAUAGCUGGUUCUCCCCGAAAUAGCUUUAGGGCUAGCCUCAAGGUGAGAGAUACGGAGGUAGAGCACUGAAUGUCCUAGGGGGUAUUGCACCUACCGAAGACUAUCAAACUCCGAAUGCCGUCAUCUUAUACUUGGGAGUCAGACUGUGGGUGAUAAGAUUCAUAGUCGAAAGGGCAACAGCCCAGAUCGUCAGCUAAGGUCCCUAAAUGUAAGUUAAGUGGUAAAGGAUGUGGGAUUGCACAGACAACCAGGAUGUUGGCUUAGAAGCAGCCACUCAUUCAAAGAGUGCGUAAUAGCUCACUGGUCGAGUGAUCCUGCGCCGAAGAUUUCCGGGGCUAAAACUUACUACCGAAGCUACGGCAUCAGUAAUGAUGGGUAGGGGAGCUUCCCAUACGGGUUGAAGCAUGACCGUAAGGACAUGUGGACAGUAUGGGAGUGAGAAUGUUGGCAUGAGUAGCGAGAUGUGGGUGAGAAUCCCACAGGCCGUAAACCCAAGGUUUCCAGGGGAAGGUUCGUCCGCCCUGGGUUAGUCGGGACCUAAGCUGAGGCCGAAAGGCGUAGGUGAUGGACAACAGGUUGAUAUUCCUGUACUACCGAUAACCGUUUGAGAGAAGGGAUGACACAGUAGGAUAAGCUAAGCACACUGUUGGUUAUGUGUGCCCAAGCAUUGAGGCAGUCAAAGUAGGCAAAUCCGCUUUGAUAAUGCUGGGAUGUGAUGGGGAGCGAAAUUUAGUAGCGAAGUAGCUGAUUUCACACUGUCAAGAAAAGUCUCUAUCGAGGUUAAAGGUACCCGUACCGCAAACCGACACAGGUGGGUGAGGAGAGUAUCCUAAGGCCAGCGAGAGAACUGUUGUUAAGGAACUCGGCAAAAUGACCCCGUAACUUAGGGAUAAGGGGUGCCACCAUCAGGUGGCCGCAGAGAAUAGGCCCAAGCGACUGUUUACCAAAAACAUAGGUUUCUGCUAAGUCGCAAGACGAUGUAUAGGAGCUGACGCCUGCCCGGUGCUGGAAGGUUAAGGGGAUCUGUUAGAGCAAUCGAAGCAGUGAACUUAAGCCCCAGUAAACGGCGGCCGUAACUAUAACGGUCCUAAGGUAGCGAAAUUCCUUGUCGGGUAAGUUCCGACCCGCACGAAAGGCGUAACGAUUUGGGCACUGUCUCAACAACAGACUCGGUGAAAUUGUAAUUCCGGUGAAGAUGCCGGAUACCUGCGACAGGACGGAAAGACCCCAUGGAGCUUUACUGUAGCUUGACAUUGGGUCUUGGUACUACAUGUACAGGAUAGGUGGGAGGCUUUGAAACCAGGACGCCAGUUUUGGCGGAGCCAUCCUUGGGAUACCACCCUUGUAGUACUGGGACUCUAACCAUAGGCCAUGAAUCUGGUCUUGGGACACUGUCAGGUGGGCAGUUUGACUGGGGCGGUCGCCUCCCAAAAGGUAACGGAGGCGCUCAAAGGUUCUCUCAGUACGGUCGGAAAUCGUACGUAGAGUGUAAAGGCAAAAGAGAGCUUGAUUGCAAGACAUACAGGUCGAGCAAGGAUGAAAAUCGGACUUAGUGAUCCGGUGGUUCUGCGUGGAAGGGCCAUCGCUCAACGGAUAAAAGCUACCCUGGGGAUAACAGGCUUAUCUCCCCCAAGAGUCCACAUCGACGGGGAGGUUUGGCACCUCGAUGUCGGCUCAUCACAUCCUGGGGCUGUAGUAGGUCCCAAGGGUUGGGCUGUUCGCCCAUUAAAGUGGUACGCGAGCUGGGUUCAGAACGUCGUGAGACAGUUCGGUCCCUAUCCGUCGCAGGCGUAGGAAAUUUGAGAAGACCUGUCCUUAGUACGAGAGGACCGGGAUGGACGUACCUCUGGUGUACCAGUUGUCCUGCCAAGGGCAUGGCUGGGUAGCUAUGUACGGAAUGGAUAAGCGCUGAAAGCAUCUAAGCGCGAAGCCAACUUCAAGAUAAGAUUUCCCACCGCAAGGGUAAGACCCCAGAAAGACUAUCUGGUUGAUAGGUCGAAGGUGUAAGUGCAGCAAUGUAUUUAGCUUAUCGAUACUAAUAGGUCGAGGACUUGACCAA
RNAcentral lists this ribosomal RNA (2888 nucleotides) under Clostridioides difficile. RNAcentral describes it as "bacterial LSU rRNA". It matches the Rfam family "Bacterial large subunit ribosomal RNA". Lineage: Bacteria; Bacillati; Bacillota; Clostridia; Peptostreptococcales; Peptostreptococcaceae. RNAcentral also lists the same sequence under 2 other names. The record is from RNAcentral.